This 65-nucleotide transfer RNA is filed under the name Bavayia jourdani. Its description in RNAcentral is "tRNA-Cys". Lineage: Eukaryota; Metazoa; Chordata; Lepidosauria; Squamata; Diplodactylidae. The record is from RNAcentral.
AGCCUCGUAGUGAGUGACACGUCAAAUUGCAAAUUUGAAAGCGUUCCUUUUUGGUUCCGGGGCUU